This 399-nucleotide ribosomal RNA is filed under the name Triticum aestivum (bread wheat). RNAcentral describes it as "partial small subunit ribosomal RNA". The record is from RNAcentral. Lineage: Eukaryota; Viridiplantae; Streptophyta; Magnoliopsida; Poales; Poaceae.
AUGAUCCCAAUUUUGAGAUGCGUCGCUCGCCGCCGAGAUCCUGCACGCGCCACCCCCGCCUCCUCCCGUCGGUGGACUGACAGGAUGCCCUCCUUAGCGGCCGCUCUAGGCAUGAGGGGGGCUGUGUUGGCGGCAUUGGCUUCUAGAUCUGUCUAUGACGGUGGAGGGGAAGCACGGCGGGGGGACCUCGGGUAUGCCCAUGAUGACGUCACCUAUGAGAGAACAGAGGGAGCUCAGGGGAGGAAGAGGAGAGAUAACAUAAAAAGGAGCGGAGGAGGAGGUCAGGUGGCACGACGGUGCGGGGUUGCCUGCUGCCCCGCCGCCCGUAACAGGAGCUCGUUCACUGACGUGGAAGCAACAGUUGCCACGGGAGUUGGUUGGAGAGGAAACAGAGACUAG